UACGACGAUGCGACAAAUAUGACA
RNAcentral lists this microRNA (24 nucleotides) under Bombyx mori (domestic silkworm). RNAcentral's name for it is "bmo-miR-2807c-5p". The record is from miRBase by way of RNAcentral. Lineage: Eukaryota; Metazoa; Arthropoda; Insecta; Lepidoptera; Bombycidae.